UACAGAGGUCUCAAGCGUUGUUCGGAUUCAUUGGGCGUAAAGGGUGCGUAGGCGGCCUGAUAAGUCGGGGGUGAAAGCCUGUGGCUCAACCACAGAAUUGCCUUCGAUACUGUUAGGCUUGAGACCGGAAGAGGUAAGUGGAACUGCGAGUGUAGAGGUGAAAUUCGUAGAUAUUCGCAAGAACACCAGUGGCGAAGGCGGCUUACUGGUCCGGUUCUGACGCUGAGGCGCGAAAGCGUGGGGAGCAAACAGG
RNAcentral lists this ribosomal RNA (253 nucleotides) under uncultured bacterium. Its description in RNAcentral is "partial 16S ribosomal RNA". It matches the Rfam family "Bacterial small subunit ribosomal RNA", at positions 524 to 776 of the family's 1533-position model. The record is from RNAcentral.